This is a long non-coding RNA of Myotis davidii, 252 nucleotides long. RefSeq lists it as uncharacterized. The record is from RefSeq and is a predicted model, not a curated record. The transcript is spliced from 3 exons. NCBI's taxonomy places the organism in Eukaryota, Metazoa, Chordata, Mammalia, Chiroptera, Vespertilionidae.
AGACUCUUUCAUGAGGUUAAGAUGACAUAUUUAUGCAGAAACAGGUAUUUUCUUACACUGCUGCCUGAAAAACUGUGUGCAUUCAUGCUCAUGAUUCUUUCAUUAUUAUAUUCAUUGUUGUUAUCAGAUGAGAACAUGAAUAUUCAGAGGGGCUAAAUGACCUCCCCAAAGUAGGUCUUCCGGUUACAAACCCUGCUCCAAGCUGCCCUAAAGGAAAAGGGAAGCAGCAAUAGAUAAGUAAAGAGAAAUGGU